GGCCAGACUCCUACGGGAGGCAGCAGUGGGGGAUAUUGCACAAUGGGGGAAACCCUGAUGCAGCGACGCCGCGUGGGCGAAGAAGUAUUUCGGUAUGUAAAGCCCUCUCAGCAGGGAAGAAGAAAUGACGGUACCUGAGUAAGAAGCACCGGCUAAAUACGUGCCAGCAGCCGCGGUAAUACGUAUGGUGCAAGCGUUAUCCGGAUUUACUGGGUGUAAAGGGGGCGCAGACGGCGAUGCAAGCCAGGAGUGAAAGCCCGGGGCCCAACCCCGGGACUGCUCUUGGAACUGCGUGGCUGGAGUGCAGGAGGGGCAGGCGGAAUUCCUGGUGUAGCGGUGAAAUGCGUAGAUAUCAGGAGGAACACCGGUGGCGAAGGCGGCCUGCUGGACUGCAACUGACGUUGAGGCCCGAAAGCGUGGGGAGCAAACAGGAUUAGAUACCCUCGUAGGG
RNAcentral lists this ribosomal RNA (451 nucleotides) under uncultured bacterium. RNAcentral describes it as "partial 16S ribosomal RNA". It matches the Rfam family "Bacterial small subunit ribosomal RNA", at positions 329 to 795 of the family's 1533-position model. The record is from RNAcentral.